UACGUAGGGGGCAAGCGUUGUCCGGAUUUAUUGGGCGUAAAGAGCGUGUAGGCGGCCAGGUAGGUCUGCUGUGAAAACUCGAGGCUUAACCUCGAGAUGUCAUCGGAAACCAUUUGGCUAGAGUCCGGAAGAGGAGAGUGGAAUUCCUGGUGUAGCGGUGAAAUGCGCAGAUAUCAGGAAGAACACCAAUGGCGAAAGCAGCUCUCUGGGACGGUACUGACGCUGAGACGCGAAAGCGUGGGGAGCGAACAGG
Molecule: ribosomal RNA, 253 nt
Filed under: uncultured bacterium
Lineage: Bacteria
Description: partial 16S ribosomal RNA
Rfam family: Bacterial small subunit ribosomal RNA
Source: RNAcentral